This 107-nucleotide small nuclear RNA is filed under the name Dasypus novemcinctus (nine-banded armadillo). The record is from RNAcentral. Lineage: Eukaryota; Metazoa; Chordata; Mammalia; Cingulata; Dasypodidae.
GUGCUCACUUUGGCAGCACAUAUACUAAAACUGGAACAAUACAAAGAAGAUUAGCAUGGUCCCUGCGCAAGGAUGGCAUGAAAAUAUGUGAAGUUUUCCAUAUUUUU